This 473-nucleotide ribosomal RNA is filed under the name Tardigrada environmental sample. RNAcentral describes it as "bacterial SSU rRNA". It matches the Rfam family "Eukaryotic small subunit ribosomal RNA", at positions 30 to 513 of the family's 1831-position model. Lineage: Eukaryota; Metazoa; Tardigrada. The record is from RNAcentral.
GCUUGUCUCAAAGAUUAAGCCAUGCAUGUGUAAGCACAAGCCGUAUAAUGGGAAACCCGCGAAUGGCUCGGUAAAACAGCCACCGUUUAUUAGUCGUGAGUUAUCUACUCGGAUAACUGUGGCAAUUCUAGAGCUAAUACGUGCACGAAGGCUCGGACCUUUUGGGAAGAGCGCAUUUAUUAGACCAAAACCAAUCGAGCUUCGGCCUGAGUUUUGGUGACUCUGAAUAACUAAGUUGAUCGCACAGUCUUAGUACCGGCGACGCAUCUUUCAAAUGUCUGCCUUAUCAACUUUCGAUGGUAGUUUAUACGCCUACCAUGGUUAUAACGGGUAACGGAGAAUAAGGGUUCGACUCCGGAGAGGGAGCCUGAGAAACGGCUACCACAUCCAAGGAAGGCAGCAGGCGCGCAAAUUACUAAGGGGCAGAAGGGGAGUAGUGCGAAAAUCCCCUAAAGGGCUUGGGCCGCAUGGAA